UGUGUGUUAGUGGAAGCGUCUGGAAAGGCGCGCGAUACAGGGUGACAGCCCCGUACACAAAAAUGCACAUGCUGUGAGCUCGAUGAGUAGGGCGGGACACGUGGUAUCCUGUCUGAAUAUGGGGGGACCAUCCUCCAAGGCUAAAUACUCCUGACUGACCGAUAGUGAACCAGUACCGUGAGGGAAAGGCGAAAAGAACCCCGGCGAGGGGAGUGAAAAAGAACCUGAAACCGUGUACGUACAAGCAGUGGGAGCACGCUUAGGCGUGUGACUGCGUACCUUUUGUAUAAUGGGUCAGCGACUUAUAUUCUGUAGCAAGGUUAACCGAAUAGGGGAGCCGAAGGGAAACCGAGUCUUAACUGGGCGUUAAGUUGCAGGGUAUAGACCCGAAACCCGGUGAUCUAGCCAUGGGCAGGUUGAAGGUUGGGUAACACUAACUGGAGGACCGAACCGACUAAUGUUGAAAAAUUAGCGGAUGACUUGUGGCUGGGGGUGAAAGGCCAAUCAAACCGGGAGAUAGCUGGUUCUCCCCGAAAGCUAUUUAGGUAGCGCCUCGUGAAUUCAUCUCCGGGGGUAGAGCACUGUUUCGGCAAGGGGGUCAUCCCGACUUACCAACCCGAUGCAAACUGCGAAUACCGGAGAAUGUUAUCACGGGAGACACACGGCGGGUGCUAACGUCCGUCGUGAAGAGGGAAACAACCCAGACCGCCAGCUAAGGUCCCAAAGUCAUGGUUAAGUGGGAAACGAUGUGGGAAGGCCCAGACAGCCAGGAUGUUGGCUUAGAAGCAGCCAUCAUUUAAAGAAAGCGUAAUAGCUCACUGGUCGAGUCGGCCUGCGCGGAAGAUGUAACGGGGCUAAACCAUGCACCGAAGCUGCGGCAGCGACGCUUAUGCGUUGUUGGGUA
Molecule: ribosomal RNA, 904 nt
Filed under: Escherichia coli
Lineage: Bacteria; Pseudomonadati; Pseudomonadota; Gammaproteobacteria; Enterobacterales; Enterobacteriaceae
Description: partial 23S ribosomal RNA
Rfam family: Bacterial large subunit ribosomal RNA
Source: RNAcentral